This 1135-nucleotide long non-coding RNA is filed under the name Fukomys damarensis (Damara mole-rat). RNAcentral describes it as "lncRNA (ENSFDAG00000029468.1)". Lineage: Eukaryota; Metazoa; Chordata; Mammalia; Rodentia; Bathyergidae. The record is from RNAcentral.
CACUGGCAAAGACUGGCUGGACUAGGACAGAUGGGGACAGGGGAGUCUGGGCACGGGUGACCAGGGAGGAGAGGGGGCUGCAUGAGGGGGCGGGGUCACAGGGGUCUUCAUCCACUAAGGCUGCUUUCCUCUGCAGAUCCAAGCUUACGAUCCUACACUCUGGGUGUGAGGCUGAGAUUGCACCCUCAUUCCAGGACCCUGGGGCUCUGAGGAUGUUGGCUUUAAGAAGGUGCAUGUGUGUCGUGGGCUUCAGAGAGCACCAGUGCUGUCUAUCUAGGGGAUGUGGGGCACUCACGUGAGCCCUCUUCUCCUGAUCUUCUCACCCCAUCUACCCUCUGCACAUCAGGCACCAGCCCAGGCCCAGGCCCAAGGUCUUCCUCCACAGCCACCAUCCAGUGUGGUAAGCAGACACGCAUGUCCUUGGAGAGAUGUGCUUUGUGCUAGUACACUGCUCAGUUAGAUCUCACAGAACCAGACUGUCCCCGAAGCACAGAUGUGGUAGAAAUCCUCUCACUCAGAGCAAAUGGCCCCAAAUCAGUGUAGAUGGUGUGGUGAUUUUUGUUCUGAGUGAAGUUCUACUAGGCAUAAAUCACCAUUUCCCGACAGAGCUGUAUUUGUCUUUUCUCAUUUUUCAUCUCUCAGGGAUAGCAAAGAGAGGGGUAUAUUUAUAUCAAACGAGUGUUCCACAGGAAGUUCUCAGAUGGAACAGGAUGAUUGUGUGGACGUGGAAGGGAACUGCCGCAGACUGCAUGUGCAUCCCAGGUUGUACCAGGACACACUGCUUAAGCUCGAGUGCACCUGAGCGCUUUCCUAUCCCGUCUUUCCACUCGUCCAUUUCCAUUAUACCUCUUCUCCUCAGAUCUCCACCCAGGGGAGCAAUGGAACAGAAUAACUGCAGCAUACUGCCCAGAGCUGGGGAGUGGGUGGCAGGACCAUGAGGUUCGAGUUUUCCUCUGGCACCUUGGAAAUUUCACAUUUUAUAUCAAGAUUCCCCUGAAUUAAAAGUUAGAUAUCUGCCGUUCUUACAGAUUUGGUUCCCUAGAGUCUUGAUCGCAACUGAGAUGCCCUGUAUAGUGUCAGACUGAGAGGGAAUUACUUAAAUUAAAAUGUAACAAUAGGUCCAUAGAUACCUUAG